UGGGCAGUAGGAAGAGGGAGUAGCCUGCUGCAGAGGCAGAGCCUCAUGGAAAACCUCUACCAGGGCAGUGCACCUGUGGCUUUGCAGGGUGUAGCCCCCAUGGCUGCCCUCGUGGGCUGGGCUGGUGUUGAGUGCCUGUAGCUUUUCCAUACUGAGGGUGUGAGCUGUUGGUGGGCUUAUGAACCUGGAGUCUGGAGGAUGGUGGCCUCCUGUGUGGGGGCUCAAAGCCUAUAUUUUCCUUCUGCACUGCCAUAGUGGAAGUUUCCUAAGAGGUUCUGCUUCUGCAGGAGGCUGCUGC
Molecule: long non-coding RNA, 298 nt
Filed under: Homo sapiens (human)
Lineage: Eukaryota; Metazoa; Chordata; Mammalia; Primates; Hominidae
Description: HSALNT0393177
Source: RNAcentral